Molecule: long non-coding RNA, 943 nt
Organism: Mangifera indica (mango)
Lineage: Eukaryota; Viridiplantae; Streptophyta; Magnoliopsida; Sapindales; Anacardiaceae
Exons: 3
Source: RefSeq, a predicted model, not a curated record
AUAGAAGAAAAACCCUGAAGAAAUCCAGAUGCAGCAAAGGGAGAAAGUGGACCUGGCAUGUACAUGUCAGCAGCUCUAAAUAAUGACACACGACCUAAGACUAGGACGGAAAUAGAGGCGGCUAUGAGAAUUAAAAUGGGAGUGGGAGAGCAUUGCUGUGUAGAAAGAAUCAUGUAGAAAAAUUUGUAUUGAGAGUUUAUUUUUGUGGGGAAUACUGGCCUCUCAUAUUAGUCAGCUUAGUAUUUUCAUCUUCGUAUUGGAGUGUGUUUUUUCUUAAGCAGUUUCCAGUUUAUUCCUAUUGACAGCAUUGUAAUGAAAUGAAUUGAGGAGUGAUUGAAUAUUACAUUGAUAAAUGAAAGAAACAUUUUCUGAUAACAUUCUGUGCUGCCCCCUAUUUUUCUACCAUUACAUUGCUUCAUUUUGGUAGGUUGAUGCUGUGAAUUGAAAUUUGCUUGCUGGAGUAGUGAUUCUGUUGUGGACUUGUUGAUUGUGCUCUUGGGUGGUGGAGGAGAAAGGGUCUGAAGUGUUGGAACAAGGCCGAGUAGAGAGACUUAAGAUCAACUUAAGUUGGACAGAGGCUGUAGAAAUUGCAGCAGCUGCCUUUUCACUGGUGUGCAGCGUUGACAUGUUGGAGUGCUUGUAUGUCCAUGGACAAGAAAUGAAAAUUUUCAGACACCUGUCUAUUGGUGAUUAACAGCUGCAGAGGGCCUUCAAACAUAGCUCUUUUUCACCACUGAGAAGACAAGGUUAGCUCAUAUCUUUCUAUUUGUGUGCCUCGUCUGUACUUAUGUAAAUCUGCUUCUUUAUUUCAUGCCCUUCUUCAAUUCUAUUUGUCACAUUGUUUCUGAGAAUGUGAGGAAGCCAGGAAAUAUUGCAAACGGGGUAGGAAGUCCACCAAACUAACAACUCAAUCUUUCUAAGAAAUUGGAAAAACAAUACUCAU